CUGAAAUUAACCGGCGCUGUGCACAAUGAUUCAACUAUAUUUACACCACAGGUUAAAUAUUUCUAGGUUAAACACACUGCUGUAGGCAUUUAUGUAUGUCUGUGAGCCGAACUGUAUAUUCAGUCUUGUUUGGAACAACACCUCAUG
This is a non-coding RNA of Styela clava, 147 nucleotides long. The record is from RefSeq and is a predicted model, not a curated record. NCBI's taxonomy places the organism in Eukaryota, Metazoa, Chordata, Ascidiacea, Stolidobranchia, Styelidae.